UGGGGAAUCUUGGACAAUGGGGGCAACCCUGAUCCAGCCAUGCCGCGUGAGUGAUGAAGGCCUUAGGGUCGUAAAGCUCUUUCGCCUGUGAAGAUAAUGACGGUAGCAGGUAAAGAAACCCCGGCUAACUCCGUGCCAGCAGCCGCGGUAAUACGGAGGGGGUUAGCGUUGUUCGGAAUUACUGGGCGUAAAGCGCACGUAGGCGGACCAGAAAGUUGGGGGUGAAAUCCCGGGGGCUCAACCCCGGAACUGCCUCCAAAACUAUUGGUCUAGAGUUCGAGAGAGGUGAGUGGAAUUCCAAGUGUAGAGGUGAAAUUCGUAGAUAUUAGGUGGAACACCAGUGGCGAAGGCGCCUAACUGGUCCGGUACUGACGCUGAGGAACGAAAGCGUGGGGAAGCAAAC
RNAcentral lists this ribosomal RNA (403 nucleotides) under uncultured bacterium. RNAcentral describes it as "bacterial SSU rRNA". It matches the Rfam family "Bacterial small subunit ribosomal RNA", at positions 355 to 773 of the family's 1533-position model. The record is from RNAcentral.